This 2479-nucleotide ribosomal RNA is filed under the name Staphylococcus aureus F23610. Its description in RNAcentral is "bacterial LSU rRNA". It matches the Rfam family "Bacterial large subunit ribosomal RNA", at positions 439 to 2925 of the family's 2925-position model. The record is from RNAcentral. Lineage: Bacteria; Bacillati; Bacillota; Bacilli; Caryophanales; Staphylococcaceae.
GGAAUCUGGGAGGACCAUCUCCUAAGGCUAAAUACUCUCUAGUGACCGAUAGUGAACCAGUACCGUGAGGGAAAGGUGAAAAGCACCCCGGAAGGGGAGUGAAAUAGAACCUGAAACCGUGUGCUUACAAGUAGUCAGAGCCCGUUAAUGGGUGAUGGCGUGCCUUUUGUAGAAUGAACCGGCGAGUUACGAUUUGAUGCAAGGUUAAGCAGUAAAUGUGGAGCCGUAGCGAAAGCGAGUCUGAAUAGGGCGUUUAGUAUUUGGUCGUAGACCCGAAACCAGGUGAUCUACCCUUGGUCAGGUUGAAGUUCAGGUAACACUGAAUGGAGGACCGAACCGACUUACGUUGAAAAGUGAGCGGAUGAACUGAGGGUAGCGGAGAAAUUCCAAUCGAACCUGGAGAUAGCUGGUUCUCUCCGAAAUAGCUUUAGGGCUAGCCUCAAGUGAUGAUUAUUGGAGGUAGAGCACUGUUUGGACGAGGGGCCCCUCUCGGGUUACCGAAUUCAGACAAACUCCGAAUGCCAAUUAAUUUAACUUGGGAGUCAGAACAUGGGUGAUAAGGUCCGUGUUCGAAAGGGAAACAGCCCAGACCACCAGCUAAGGUCCCAAAAUAUAUGUUAAGUGGAAAAGGAUGUGGCGUUGCCCAGACAACUAGGAUGUUGGCUUAGAAGCAGCCAUCAUUUAAAGAGUGCGUAAUAGCUCACUAGUCGAGUGACACUGCGCCGAAAAUGUACCGGGGCUAAACAUAUUACCGAAGCUGUGGAUUGUCCUUUGGACAAUGGUAGGAGAGCGUUCUAAGGGCGUUGAAGCAUGAUCGUAAGGACAUGUGGAGCGCUUAGAAGUGAGAAUGCCGGUGUGAGUAGCGAAAGACGGGUGAGAAUCCCGUCCACCGAUUGACUAAGGUUUCCAGAGGAAGGCUCGUCCGCUCUGGGUUAGUCGGGUCCUAAGCUGAGGCCGACAGGCGUAGGCGAUGGAUAACAGGUUGAUAUUCCUGUACCACCUAUAAUCGUUUUAAUCGAUGGGGGGACGCAGUAGGAUAGGCGAAGCGUGCGAUUGGAUUGCACGUCUAAGCAGUAAGGCUGAGUAUUAGGCAAAUCCGGUACUCGUUAAGGCUGAGCUGUGAUGGGGAGAAGACAUUGUGUCUUCGAGUCGUUGAUUUCACACUGCCGAGAAAAGCCUCUAGAUAGAAAAUAGGUGCCCGUACCGCAAACCGACACAGGUAGUCAAGAUGAGAAUUCUAAGGUGAGCGAGCGAACUCUCGUUAAGGAACUCGGCAAAAUGACCCCGUAACUUCGGGAGAAGGGGUGCUCUUUAGGGUUAACGCCCAGAAGAGCCGCAGUGAAUAGGCCCAAGCGACUGUUUAUCAAAAACACAGGUCUCUGCUAAACCGUAAGGUGAUGUAUAGGGGCUGACGCCUGCCCGGUGCUGGAAGGUUAAGAGGAGUGGUUAGCUUCUGCGAAGCUACGAAUCGAAGCCCCAGUAAACGGCGGCCGUAACUAUAACGGUCCUAAGGUAGCGAAAUUCCUUGUCGGGUAAGUUCCGACCCGCACGAAAGGCGUAACGAUUUGGGCACUGUCUCAACGAGAGACUCGGUGAAAUCAUAGUACCUGUGAAGAUGCAGGUUACCCGCGACAGGACGGAAAGACCCCGUGGAGCUUUACUGUAGCCUGAUAUUGAAAUUCGGCACAGCUUGUACAGGAUAGGUAGGAGCCUUUGAAACGUGAGCGCUAGCUUACGUGGAGGCGCUGGUGGGAUACUACCCUAGCUGUGUUGGCUUUCUAACCCGCACCACUUAUCGUGGUGGGAGACAGUGUCAAGCGGGCAGUUUGACUGGGGCGGUCGCCUCCUAAAAGGUAACGGAGGCGCUCAAAGGUUCCCUCAGAAUGGUUGGAAAUCAUUCAUAGAGUGUAAAGGCAUAAGGGAGCUUGACUGCGAGACCUACAAGUCGAGCAGGGUCGAAAGACGGACUUAGUGAUCCGGUGGUUCCGCAUGGAAGGGCCAUCGCUCAACGGAUAAAAGCUACCCCGGGGAUAACAGGCUUAUCUCCCCCAAGAGUUCACAUCGACGGGGAGGUUUGGCACCUCGAUGUCGGCUCAUCGCAUCCUGGGGCUGUAGUCGGUCCCAAGGGUUGGGCUGUUCGCCCAUUAAAGCGGUACGCGAGCUGGGUUCAGAACGUCGUGAGACAGUUCGGUCCCUAUCCGUCGUGGGCGUAGGAAAUUUGAGAGGAGCUGUCCUUAGUACGAGAGGACCGGGAUGGACAUACCUCUGGUGUACCAGUUGUCGUGCCAACGGCAUAGCUGGGUAGCUAUGUGUGGACGGGAUAAGUGCUGAAAGCAUCUAAGCAUGAAGCCCCCCUCAAGAUGAGAUUUCCCAACUUCGGUUAUAAGAUCCCUCAAAGAUGAUGAGGUUAAUAGGUUCGAGGUGGAAGCAUGGUGACAUGUGGAGCUGACGAAUACUAAUCGAUCGAAGACUUAAUCAA